AAGACGAAAACAGGUGAGGGAGCAAGCAAUGUAUAUGUUCGCUUAUAUUUGCAUUUGUGUAUGUAUGCAUAUAUAUAUAUAUACAUAUAUACACACACACACACACAGUGUGGGUGAAAAGUAAGUAGGCAUUAAAAAUUGGUAAUUAUAUCCAUAUUCCUUUUCCAAAUUUAUUGAAACAAAUGAUACAUGUUCUUUAUUACAUGGGAAAAUGAAAGUAAAUCUUCAUAUUUCAACAUAAGCACCUCAAAUGGCCCCAGGGAUAGAAUGAACGACCUUCUGAAGGACAUCAUCUGGGAUAUCAUUGAGAACCUCCUGAAUCCGUGUCUCCAAGUCCUCAAGUGUGUGAGGUUUUGUCUUGUACACCUCUUUUGUGUAACCCCACAGGUAAAAAUCACAUGGAGUGAGAUCGGGACUUCUGAGGUCACAGUCUUCACAGCCUGCAUGCAAUGGACUUUCCAUGGACAAAGAUUCAAUUCUUUAUGCAACACCAUAUGUAUUGUAUGUCUUGUUAGUCCCCUUCCACGAGCUGCUUGACAUGUUGAUUUUUGCAGGAUGUCAUUAAACAUUUCCUGCACUGUUGCCACGUUCUCCGCUGAUUGGGAUGUAGUUGGACGGCCACUUCUUCUUGCAUCGUUCAAACACCCUGUGGUCAUCAGCUUUGCUUAACAGUUUUUUAUCGUCCCCAGACAUAGUGUUGCAUGUUUACCUUUCCAUGCAUGCCACCAUCUUUGAACCGAAACAAUGAAAUUCUACACUUCAUAAUGUGCUGCUAUCUUAGCUCACUCCUGAACGGUCAAGCAACUGACCAUCUGGAAAAUAAGACAAGAAGAUAAGAAAUCCCCAUUAGUGUUGCCUGUUUAGAAAAUGUUAUCGUCAUGACUUCAGUGAUACUAAAAAUUCUACAAGCAAUUUCUAAUGCCUAGUUACUUUCCAUACACCCUCUGUGUGUGUGUGUGUAGUGGGUGUGUAAGUAAGAAUUUAGAAACUUUGAGAGAACAUGAAAUAAUUCGUUUGUAACUGCAGAACUCAAAGUUGAAAAGCCCCUUGGAUAGAAAACAGCAGUUGAAGGCUGCCCAUGGUGCUUGAAACUGCAUAUGCUGUAUACUUCUUUAUAGAAGUUGUGGUCAGCCCUUGAUUUAUCUUUGCACUUUGAGUUCAAAAUUCACUGUGGUUGAUUUUGCCAUUGUUUCUCUCGGGGUCAAUAAAAUAAGUAUCAGUUGAUUACUGGGGUCGAUGUAAUCAACUUUCCCAUUCCCUCAAAAGCUGCUGGUCCUGUCCCAAAAAUUGAAACCAUUAUUAUUAUUAUUAUUAAGGUGGUAAGCUAGCAGAAUACAUUAGUGCCCCGGGUGAAAUGCAUAGCAGUAUUUUGUCUGCUGCUACGUUCUGAGUUCAAAUUCCGUUGAGGUCAGCUUUGCCUUUCAUCCUUUCAGGGUCGUUUAAAUAAGUAUUAGUUACACACUGGGGUCAAUGAAAUCAAUUUCAGGCCUUGCGCCUAUAGUAGAAAGGAUUAUCAUUAUUAUUUAUACCCUAAAAAUCUUCAAGUUCUCCAGCUGAAAACCAAUUACAUGUGUGCCUACGUGUAUGUAUAUAUAAUGUAUGUAUAUGUGUGUUUACAUAAGUAUGAGCUUGUAUAUGUAUGUUUACAUAUGUAUGUGUAUAUAUAAAUAUAUAUAUAUAUGUAUAUAUAUAUAUAUAUAUAUAUAUAUGUAUGUAUAGUUAUGUUUACACACUCGCGUAUGUUGUAUUCAUGGUAUGUGACUUUUACAAGUAUACACAUUGAGCCCUGUAUGUCUAUAUAUAUAUAUGUCUAUAUAUAUAUAUAUAUAUAUAUGCCAUGUUGAACCACUGAACCCUGUUAGGGCUCAGUGAUUCACUUCUCCCUGCAUUUAUUUCCUCUUGUUCCUUUCUGUCAAAGAGCAUAGGCUCGAAACAUAAAAGACUUUGCCAUUUUCCUUGGGUGUCAAACUAAUACACUUGCUUGUUGUUCCUACACCUGUCUUCAUCUUUUAUUUUUCUAAAAAUUUGAACUAUAUACAUGUUUGUGUGUGUAUAUUUGUUUACACACUCACAUAUGUUGCAGUCAUGGUAUGUGACAUAUACAAGUAUACAGAGCAAGCCCUGUCUAUCUUUUGGUUUCUUUAGUUUUAUCCAUGAACUACUAAGGCCAUGCUGGAGCACUGCCUUUAAAACUGCCUCUCUUUUCAUGUAUGUGCGUGUGUUUGUGUUUACAUCUAUGUCUGUCUCUUUCACAUUCUCAUAUAUAUAUAUAUAUAUAUAUAUAUAUAAAUACAAGAAUGAUAAUAUUUCUAAAAAUUAUUUUGUUGGUGGCCACGAGCGUACAGCCGUAUAGGCAAAUUAAUAAAAUAUAUAUAACACACAUAUAUAUAUAUAUAAAUUGUAUGUAUAUAUUAGGGUACUAUAUAAGCAACUGCUUUGCAAAAUAUAGAAGUCAAAAUACUUCUAAGCCACAGAACAAUCACAAAAUACACGAAUGAUAGGAAAGAAUUCUAAUGAACAAGAAUAACAUUCUACCUCUGCCAAGGAUACAAGAGGAAUGUUGAUUAAUUUGAUGUCAUGUUUUUGAAUUUAGAGCCAAAUAUGUCUGAAUCUCCUCACUCAGAUCUGCUGCCAUGGAUGGCUACGAGAAUUUGCCUCUUGCUUGAAACAAAUGAAUUGUGUGAAAUUAUUUAUAAAUAAAUAUAAGAACAACAAUAUUUCUAAAAAUAAUAUCGUUAGUGGCCACAAGCAUACAGCCAUGUAGGCAAAUUAUUAAUUUAUUAAAUUAUCAAUAUAAAUAUUAUCAUUCUUAUAUUUAUUUAUAAAAAAUUUCACGGUAUUUGACCAUUCAAAUGCAUUUACGUGCAUAGUAGGGUAAAAUUCUUGUAGCCGUCCCUGGCAGAUUAGACAGGAGAUUCAGGCACCUUUGGUGCUAAAUUCGAAAUCAUGACAUCAAAUUACACAGGAUUCCUCUUGCAGAGGUAGGACGCUGUUCUUGUUCACUGGAAUUUUUUCCUAUCAUGCCUGUAUUAAUUUUGUGAUUCUUCUGUGACUUAAAAGUAUUUUGACUUCUAUUUUUAGUGAAGCAGGUGCUUACAUAGUACCCUAGUAUAUAUAUUGGUUAGUUCUUCACUCUCUCUCUCUCCUUUGUCUUCUUUCUCUCUUCCCUCUAUUUAUUUAUCCCUCCCCAUCGUCUCCAUCAAAUCUGUUGAGGACAUGACCCCUUCAGCCCUUUCCAUGAUAUUCAGUGCACCUUAUCAUCACGUUAUUGUUUAUGUCUGCAAAACAACCAACAUUAGAACAUUAUUAUUAUUAACAUCAUUAUUAUUAAUACUUUUCUGGUUUAAAAUAAAGUUGAAUUAGUUAAA
Octopus sinensis (East Asian common octopus) is the source of this 3368-nucleotide long non-coding RNA. RefSeq lists it as uncharacterized. Lineage: Eukaryota; Metazoa; Mollusca; Cephalopoda; Octopoda; Octopodidae. The record is from RefSeq and is a predicted model, not a curated record. The transcript is spliced from 2 exons.